RNAcentral lists this ribosomal RNA (1114 nucleotides) under uncultured archaeon. RNAcentral's name for it is "bacterial SSU rRNA". It matches the Rfam family "Archaeal small subunit ribosomal RNA", at positions 80 to 1194 of the family's 1478-position model. The record is from RNAcentral.
GGCAGACGGCUCAGUAACACGUAGUCAAUCUAACCUAUGGACGAGGAUAACCUCGGGAAACUGAGAAUAAUACUCGAUAGAUCAUUAUGCCUGGAACGGUUUAUGGUUCAAAUGAAUUUCGCCAUAGGGUGGGACUGCGGUCUAUCAGCUUGUUGGUGAGGUAAUGGCCCACCAAGGCUAUAACAGAUACGGGCUCUAAGAGGAGAAGCCCGGAGAUGGGUACUGAGACACGGACCCAGGCCCUAUGGGGCGCAGCAGGCGAGAAAACUUUGCAAUGUGCGAAAGCACGACAAGGUUAAUCCGAGUGAUUCCUGCUAAAGGAAUCUUUUGUUAGUCAUAAUACCACUGAUGAAUAAGGGGUGGGCAAGUUCUGGUGUCAGCCGCCGCGGUAAAACCAGCACCUCAAGUGGUCAGGAGGAUUAUUGGGCCUAAAGCAUCCGUAGCCGGCUUUGUAAGUUUUCGGUUAAAUCUAUAUGCUCAACAUAUAGGCUGCCGGGAAUACUGCAAAGCUGGGGAAUGGGAGAGGUAGACGGUACUCCGUAGGGAGGGGUAAAAUCCUUUGAUCUAUGGAUGACCACCUGUGGCGAAGGCGGUCUACCAGAACACGUCCGACGGUGAGGGAUGAAAGCUGGGGGAGCAAACCGGAUUAGUUACCCGGGUAGUCCCAGCUGUAAACUAUGCAAACUCAGUGAUGCAUUGGCUUGUGGCCAGUGCAGUGCCGCAGGGAAGCCGUUAAGUUUGCCGCCUGGGAAGUACGUACGCAAGUAUGAAACUUAAAGGAAUUGGCGGGGGAGCACCACAAGGGGUGAAGCCUGCGGUUCAAUUGGAGUCAACGCCAGAAAUCUUACCCGGAGAGACAGCAGAAUGAAGGUCAAGUUGAAGACUUUACCAGACAAGCUGAGAAGUGGUGCAUGGCCGUCGCCAGCUCGUGCCGUGAGAUGUCCUGCUAAGUCAGGUAACGAGCGAGAUCCUUGCCUCUAGUUGCCACCAUUACUCUCAGGAGUAGUGGGGCGAAUUAGCGGGACUGCCGUAGUUAAUACGGAGGAAGGAGAGGGCCACGGCAGGUCAGUAUGCCCUGAAACUCUGGGGCCACACGCGGGCUGCAAUGGUAGUG